GAGCAGACACUGGAAUGUGAAUGCAUUGGGAGGUGAGCCCUUAAGGAGAGCCCAAAUGUUUACCAAAGAGAAAAUCUGGUCAGAGGUUAUUCUCGUUCAAGUUAAUCCAGGUGAGACUUUCACAAUAAGAGCAGAGGAUGGAACACUUCAGUGCAUUCAAGGACCUGCUGAAGUUCCCAUGAUGUCACCCAAUGGAUCCAUUCCUCCCAUUCAUGUGCCUCCAGGUUAUAUCUCACAGGUAAUCCAUUUGAUGGACUUCUCUACUCACUAUGGACACUGUCGUUGCUCCAACAGAAUAUAUGUUGAGGCUUCAAAGCCAUAUUCCAGGAGUUAAUUUAGGUACCGUAGUGCUAGGUUUGCCAUCAUUUUGUGGCACCACAUGGCGUUUCUUGUGUCUUGCCACUUGACGUACCAGAGAACCAGAGAAAAGGAGACACAGAAGGCCUACUAGACUGUCCUCUGCCAAGUGGGGUUUUUAUAUUUGAUUGUUUGGUUGUGAUUUCUUUAUGGAGUCUCCUGCUUUAGACAUUUCCUUCCACCUGUAAUACAACUUU
RNAcentral lists this small RNA (554 nucleotides) under Pan troglodytes (chimpanzee). RNAcentral's name for it is "retained intron". Lineage: Eukaryota; Metazoa; Chordata; Mammalia; Primates; Hominidae. The record is from RNAcentral.